RNAcentral lists this long non-coding RNA (336 nucleotides) under Solanum tuberosum (potato). RNAcentral describes it as "long non-coding RNA (STUB_LNC000931)". Lineage: Eukaryota; Viridiplantae; Streptophyta; Magnoliopsida; Solanales; Solanaceae. The record is from RNAcentral.
AAACUUUACUAUUGAGGAAAUUCAUCCGUUGGUAACGCUUAUCAUAUGAAAUUAACGCUUAGACUUAUAAUGGGUACAAAUCAAGUAAUAUUCUAAUAAGGACGGCUAACUAAAAUGAAGAAUUUAAAGAAAGAAAUCAGAUUAUGAUAUUCAUUUUGUGAAAAGACACAUUCAUAUAAAUUGGGGCCAAAAUGUGGUUACAAAUAUAUUUUCCUUCUUUCAAAAAAAUGUGCACCAUCCAUCUAAUAGUUUUAGAAUUUUUUAUAGGCAAGAAUCGACACAGAACACUUAAACGAACACAAAGGAAAACUUAUGGUGCCGGACCAUAGGAAAUGA